Mangifera indica (mango) is the source of this 85-nucleotide small nucleolar RNA. Lineage: Eukaryota; Viridiplantae; Streptophyta; Magnoliopsida; Sapindales; Anacardiaceae. The record is from RefSeq and is a predicted model, not a curated record.
UGCAAUCUGUGAUGCAAAUUACCCACACUUUCUGAUUUAACUGUGAUUAUUGUUUAAAAAUCACCAUCUUUCGGCUGAGGUUGCA